GUCUGAAAUACAGGUAUGUGAUAAAUUAACUUCAUAUACAGUACAAUCAUAUACGUGUGUGUGUGUAUGUUUACAAUAUGUAUAUAUUGUGGCGAAACCAGCCUCGCCACGUGUCCUUGGAGGGGGCUGCUUGCCCGCCUCUUGCCUUUGGACUAUGGACCAGACUUUAUGUGAAUGUGUUAACCCAGAUAGCUAUGCCAUGGAGCCCAUUCGUGUAGUUAAAGACUUCGGCUCCAUGGCAAUUGAACUGUGUGAAUAGGAUCUGAGCGCUAUUCGGUAGUUUUGUGCGCUCAGAUCCCAGCUAUCUGGGGAUAUGUGAAAUGUCUGUG
Pelobates cultripes (western spadefoot toad) is the source of this 329-nucleotide non-coding RNA. NCBI's taxonomy places the organism in Eukaryota, Metazoa, Chordata, Amphibia, Anura, Pelobatidae. The record is from the annotation of a GenBank genome assembly.